Molecule: RNA transcript, 2209 nt
Organism: Cebus imitator (Panamanian white-faced capuchin)
Lineage: Eukaryota; Metazoa; Chordata; Mammalia; Primates; Cebidae
Gene name: signal peptide peptidase-like 2A
Exons: 1
Source: RefSeq, a predicted model, not a curated record
GUGCGCCCCACCCAGCACCCAUCAAUUCAAUGGUGUCGCAGUGGCGGCUACCCCAUGCCACGGCCACCCAGCUCUGGGGCUUCCUACUCCUGCUUACAGCAGCUCAGGGAGCAGUCUUAUGUGCAUCUAGAAAUGGCACAUCCAAGGGCUACUGCAUGCUUUAUAACCCUCAUUGGAUAACUUUUCUAAGUACCCUAGAAAAUGCAGCUUCCAUUAGUUUGAUGAGUCUGACUUCCACACCACUAUGCAGCCCUUCUGAUAUUCCUCCUGUUGGCAUAAAGAACAAAGUAGCUGUGGUGCAAUGGGGAAGCUGUCAUUUUCCCAAAAAAGCCAGAAUUGCUUAGAAAGGCGGUGCUGAAGCAGUGUUAGUUGUCAACAACAGUGUCCUAUUUCCUCCCUCGGUAACAGAUCUGAAUUUCCUCAUGUGAAAGUACUGAUUGCUUUUAUAAGCCAGAAAGUCUUUAAAGAUAUGAAGCAGACUCUAGGAAAUCACAUUAAUGUGAAAAUGUAUUCUCCAUUGUGGCCUUUGAUCAUACUAUGGUGGUCAUUUUUGUAAUUGCUGUGUUCACUGUGGCAUUAGUUAGAUACUGGAGUGGACUAGUUGAAUUGGAAAACUUGAAAGCAGUGACAAUUGAAGAUAGAGAAAUGAGGAAAAAGAAGGAAGAAUAUCUAACUUUUAGUCCUUUCUUACAGUUGUAAUCUUUGUGGUCACCUGCUGUGUUAUGAUGGUCUUUAAUUCUUCUGCAAAUGAUUGGUUUAUGUUAUGAUAGCAAUUUUCUGCAUAGCAUCAGCAAUGAGUCUGUGCAACUGUCUUGUCUGCACUAAUUCAUAAGAUACCAAUAGGCAAUGCACAAUUGUGUGUUGUGGCAAAAGCAUGGAAGUGAGACUUAUUUUUCUCUCUAGACUAUGCCUAAUGAUAGCUAUUGUUUGGGCUGUGUUUCGAAAUGAAGACAGGUGGACUUGGAUUUUACAGGAUAUCGAUAUCUUGGAGAUUGCUUUCUGUCUGAAUUUGAUUAAAACACUGAAAUUGCCCAACUUCAAGUCAUGCAUGAUACUUCUAGGCCUUCUCCUCUUCUAUAAUGUAUUUUUUGUGGUCGUAACACCAUUCGUCACAAAAAAUGGUGAGAGUAUCGUGGUUGAACUUGCAGCUGGACCUUUUGGAAAUAACGGAAAGUUGCCAGUAGUCAACAGAGUACCAAAGCUGAUCUAUUUCUCAGUAAUGAGUGUGUGCCUCAUGCCUUUUUCAAUGUUGGUUUUUAGAGACAUUACUGUACCAGGCCUGUUGAUUGGGUACUGUAGAAGAGUUGAUGUUCAGACUGGUUCUUCCUAUAUAUAGUAUGUUAUUAUGCUAGUUGCCUAUGCUAUUGGCAUGAUACUUACAUUUGUUGUUCCGGUGCUGAUGAAAAAGGGGCAACCUGCUCUCCUGUAUUGAGUACUUUACAAACUUAUUACUGCCUCAAUUGUUGCACGGAGAAUUUUAAUUAUUUAUGAUGUAACUGUAAGUAGCAGCCUGGGUGGCAUAGCAAGACCCCAUCUCAAAUAUAAAUAUAUAUGUAAUAUAAUAUAAAAUAAAUAACUUUAUACAUUUCCUGGAAGAAAGGUACUUUGUAAAUUCAAAAGAUCUGAAUCAAAUUAUUCAACCUUUUGGACUUUGAUCUUCUACUGUAAUACUCAUAUGUGAGAUUACCGAAUUUUCAGUUAAAAAAAAUUAUUAACAGGAUAAUAUAUAGGCCAUAUUAUAGUGAAGAUCAUAGCCUCUGUAUUAAAAAAAGUGUUCAUUGGGAGAAAAACUAUUUUUAAAACUAAAUUUUUAUAGUAAUCCUCCAUUACUUCAAUUAAGGAGCAACCAAAAAAAAAGUGGAUUAUUUAAUGUAUACAUUGUGGAAUGACUGAAUCAAGCUAAUUAACAUAUUCAUCACCUUAAAUACUUAUAAUUUAUCCCUCCUAACUGAAACUUUGUACUCUUUAACCAAAACCUCACCAUUCCGCAACCCCAUAGGUAAAUUUCGCUUAAUAAGGAGUGAUUUGCCAAAAUCACAAAAGGGAGGAUGACAUUAUUUUCAGUGUGUAAGGAUUCACAUGUAAACACUGAGUAGAUUGGAGGUGUGUAUGAAGAGGACUGGAGGGAGUCAAUGAAAUUUCAUAUCACAGAAGUGCUUAUGUCUUCUGACAUGAUUUUAAAUGUAUAUUUAUAAGGAUAAUAAACUAC